RNAcentral lists this small RNA (665 nucleotides) under Pongo abelii (Sumatran orangutan). RNAcentral describes it as "retained intron". The record is from RNAcentral. Lineage: Eukaryota; Metazoa; Chordata; Mammalia; Primates; Hominidae.
GGUGGAGAGCAUGAGCAAGGUGCUGCUCGGGCACAUGGGCAUGGGCGCAGCUGAGCCCAGGCAGCCCUGACCCAGGCGGCCUCCCUGCAGGUGGCCUCCAAGAAGUACGAGGAGGGGGAGCGGGCAUUGUGCGAGGCCCGGCAGGUGCAGGCAGAGCAGCAGGCCCGGUUGCAGGCGGUGCAGCAACAGCAGGAGCGGCUGCGGAAGCAGGAGCAGCACAUGCACCAGGCAAGGCUCCCUGAGUGUAUGGCGCCCCUGCCCCCGGCACCCCCAGCCUCCCACCUCACAGCUGAGUCCUUCUUUCCGGGGGAACGGGGACAGGAGCAUCUGAGUCUGGCCCAGCAGAGGCUGCAACUGGACCGCGCACGACAGGACCUGCCCUCCAGCCUCGUGGGUCUGUUCCCCAGGGCCCAGGGCCCUGCAGCCUCCAGCCAGAAUGGUGAGUGGCUCCAGAAGGAAGGGCCGGUGGCUCAGGACUGGGCAGGGGCAGUGCUAGGAGUGGGCAGGCCCUCCUCCAGCGCUCCAGUUAAGGCGGCCAGCUGGGUUUUACAGUCGCCUUAUUUGUUUUUUACACAAAUAAUGUGUGUUAAUUUUAGAUAAAUCAGAAAUAGAGAGAGGGACACUAUUAUGAAAAAUGUCACCUUUUUGUAACUCUGGACUCAGGA